CUAGAGAUGUAGCCCAAUGGAAGAAUGCAUGCCUUGCAUGUAAGAGGCCCUGGGUUCAAUCGCCAGUUUCUGGA
RNAcentral lists this transfer RNA (74 nucleotides) under Marmota monax (woodchuck). RNAcentral's name for it is "tRNA.Ala". The record is from RNAcentral. Lineage: Eukaryota; Metazoa; Chordata; Mammalia; Rodentia; Sciuridae.